This is a long non-coding RNA of Cyprinus carpio (common carp), 2442 nucleotides long. RefSeq lists it as uncharacterized. NCBI's taxonomy places the organism in Eukaryota, Metazoa, Chordata, Actinopteri, Cypriniformes, Cyprinidae. The transcript is spliced from 3 exons. The record is from RefSeq and is a predicted model, not a curated record.
UCCAGAAUAGCCUGUCAUCCAGGGGUUCGGAGAUCACUGGCCGCCAUCCAUCAGCGAUUCUGGUGGCCAUCCAUGGCCCAUGAUGUCAGGCAGUUUGUGUUGGCUUGCUCAGUGUGUGCUCAGAAUAAGACCUCUAACCAGUCUCCUGUUGGUCUGUUGCAGCCUUUACCCAUUCCCUCUCGUCCUUGGUCACACUUGGCCCUUGAUUUUGUUUCUGGCCUUCCCCCAUCGAGAGGCAACACCGUGAUUCUGACGGUGGUGGAUCGCUUCUCCAAGGCGGCCCAUUUCAUUCCAUUGCCCAAACUCCCCUCCGCCAAGGAGACCGCACAAGUGGUGGUGGACCAUGUCUUCCGGAUUCAUGGUCUUCCGGUGGAUGUGGUCUCCGACAGAGGGCCACAAUUUGUCUCCCGGUUUUGGAAAGAGUUCUGAAGACAGAUCGGGGCCUCAACGAGUCUGUCUUCAGGCUUUCACCCGCAGACCAAUGGGCAGUCCGAGCGAGCCAACCAGGAUCUCGAGAGAGCUCUCCGUUGUCUGGCAUCACAUAGUCCGAGCUCCUGGAGUCAGCAGCUACCGUGGGUUGAAUAUUCCCACAAUUCCCUUCCUGUAGCGUCCACAGGUAUGUCUCCCUUUCAAUGUUCCAUGGGUUAUCAACCACCUCUCUUCCCUGCUCAGGAACCCGAAGCUGCGGUCCCGUCUGCCUUGGCCUUCGUCCGUCGGUGUCGCCGCACCUGGAGGAGGGCUAAGGAGGUCUUGGCCCAGGCUUCCAGACGGACCAAAGCAGCGGCUGAUCGUCACAGGACUCCUGCUCCUCAGUAUGUGUGUGUGGUCAGAAAGUAUGGAUCUCCACCAAGGACCUGCCUCUCCGGGUGCCUUCUCGUAAGCUGGCACCCAGUUUCAUUGGGCCAUAUCGUAUCACCAAGGUUCUAAGUCCAGUGGCAGUGCGGCUCAAGCUUCCUUACAUGCUUGGUCGGGUUCACCCUGUCUUCCAUGUGUCCAGGGUUAAACCUGUGUUUCGUUCCCCUCUAAAUCCUGUUGUUUCUUCCCCGACCCCCCCUCCCCCUCGUAUAGUGGAUGGUACUCCAGUAUAUACUGUGAGAAAGAUCUUGGAUGUUAGACGCCGUGGUCGGGGUUUCCAGUUUCUGGUGGACUGGGAGGGUUACGGUCCGGAGGAGAGGAGUUGGAUACCAGGCCGGGACAUUCUGGAUAAGACUCUUGUCGAGGACUUCCGUCGGCGACGAGGUGACCCUCUCCUUGGUGCGCCAGGUGGCAUCCCUGGGGGGGGAGGUACUGUCAUGACUUCGGUCUGAUCAGCAGGUUGUUGUUGUUGUGUUUUGACAGUUCACCAUGUGCUCGUUGUCUUCGUGGUUCCCUCCCCAUUGUUAUCUUAAUUACUACUUCAGCUGCCGUCACACCUGUAACUUGUUAAUUCCUUAAUUCUCCCUCUUUAAGUUUUCCUCGUGUGUAGUCUUGUGUCCGACCGUUGUGGUGUUUAUGUACUACACUUUGUGACCAUCAUCUAGUCUUGUCCUGCCGUGGUUGUUUAGGCUCCUGAUGCAGUCUUGUGUUUUCACUUUGUCUUCUCUUCCGUUUGUGCUCAGCCUCUUGUUUCACCAGACUUCUCUGACGUUGUGUCAGUACCGACGCUUGGACUCUGUGAGCUGCUCUCUCUACCCUGACGUUGCGUUGGCUCCGACGCUGGGACUGUGCACCGGUCUUCAUUUUCUACUCUGCCUAGUGGAGGGGCUGUAGGCUCAUGUUGACUGUUCUUCUCAUCCUUCCUCUAGUUUCCGCCACGGCCGAGUGGAGUUGAGAUUUAAAUAAAUUUGAGUUGUACCUGCAAAUUGAAUCCGUGUGUUUCCCUGACAUAAACUCAGACAAAGGAAAAGACGAUUGCUGGAGUCCAGGUCCAGGGUCAUCCAAACAGAUGCAAUGAGAGACAGCACUGAAAACUGGCAGACAGCAACGCUGGAACUGAUGUCUGAUGAGGAGGAUGCCAUUGCCGAUGUGGGUUGUGGGAUCUCCAUCUCACAGGAGCCCACAGUUGUCAGACCUUUGCCACCAACUUCAGCGCAGAUGUGAGGUGCUACAGUGAUGGCUGCCCACUGCUUCAAGUGUCACUGGAUGGCUUAAAUGCAGAGGUCACAUUCCAAGUAUGGGUUACCAUACAUUGGUCAUUGUCACUUUCACUUCACUUUUAUAUUGUGUUUUAGUAUUUAGUGUUUAAUAUUUUAGCUUUUAUAAUUUUAUAAGUAUAAUUGCACCUUUUAUAAUUGCACAUUUGUUCUUUUUCUUAUUUUCUGUUUGUUUCCUAAUUCUUACCUAUUUUGCUUUAUAUAUUUAUUAAAUUAGCACUGUUCCAUAUUCUGUAACUUUGUUAAUAUUGCUUUGUGUUUGGUUGCUUUGUUUGUGUGUGGUUUGAUUUUAGUUUCGGUACAGUUCCAU